GGGAGAGUGGCGGAAUUGGUAUACGCAGGGUGUAGAGUUAUACACGAAGUGCAAGGAAUUAAUGAGAUGCGCAACCUUGAUGACACGUGCAAAGAACCCCGAAUAUCUCUACUUGCAGGUUCGACUCCUGCCUCUCCCACCA
This 142-nucleotide transfer RNA is filed under the name Cytophagaceae bacterium. RNAcentral describes it as "tRNA-OTHER". It matches the Rfam family "tRNA". Rfam says of the family: Transfer RNA (tRNA) molecules are approximately 80 nucleotides in length. Their secondary structure includes four short double-helical elements and three loops (D, anti-codon, and T loops). The record is from RNAcentral. Lineage: Bacteria; Pseudomonadati; Bacteroidota; Cytophagia; Cytophagales; Cytophagaceae.